Alnus glutinosa is the source of this 1668-nucleotide long non-coding RNA. RefSeq lists it as uncharacterized. The transcript is spliced from 3 exons. The record is from RefSeq and is a predicted model, not a curated record. NCBI's taxonomy places the organism in Eukaryota, Viridiplantae, Streptophyta, Magnoliopsida, Fagales, Betulaceae.
UCAUUAUAGGAAGAUUUCUUGCACAACAAAUCCCUUUUGUGAUGAUGUUUUCUGAUAAUCGUGGUGGAAAGCUUGCCAAAUGAGAACAUGGAAGCCUCGAAGGAGAGGAAGGUGGGGAAGGUGAAGAAAGCAAAGAAGGCGAGGCAAGCAAUCAGGAAAGGAUAUGAGUGCGGUACUCAUAUCGUGGUGCUCUCUCUCUUCUGUCAUAGAUCGCCAUCACCGGAUUGAGAGUAGAUGCCAGAAAAGUUUAUGGUGAUGCGAAGGAAGAGAAAGAUACUUCAUCUCAGAAGCAUGAUCAAGAAUAAUCUUGCUUCUGGAUGACAUGAUCAAAAAUAAUCUUGCUUCGUUGUUUGUGAAUCUGGUUGUGAUGCUGCAUUUUUCCAACUUUAGACUUUGAAAUUAGUUAUGAAACUACAUCUUCCUUCUCAGGAAGCGAUGAUAAGCUUAGACCAGAAGAAAAAUUUUGGCUUUCAAAGUGUGAAGGGUUGAGAGCUCAAAGGUGUGCUUUGCAAGGGAGAAGAUGAGUGAAUUUAUAGAGGAGAUUUGAGAGGGGACGGUGCAAGUGGUGCCGACAGUGGGUCACUAUUAAAUCCAUACCUUUCUCGAAACGCUCUUCCACGUCUGCUAGGUGCGAAAUGUGCGGCGAUGAAUCCGGAAAAGUCAUUGAGUGAAUUCGGAAUUCGAGGAGGUAAAAAGUGAAAGUUGAAAAAGAAAGGAGACUCGUGAUUCGAGAGUUGUCUGCUAGUGGUAGUGGCGGCCAGGCUCAGAAUGACGUCUAUUAGACCGCAUCUUGUCCACUGAUUAAGUUCUCUUUCCUUUCCCUUCAGAUCUUUCGAAGAACAGCUUCAUUUCUAUCUUUUCUCCUUUGGGUUCUUUGAAUAACGGUUUCACUUCCUUCGUCUACCCAAAAAUGGCUUCUUCUUCUGCUUCGUAGAACAAUAUUGAUCUGAAUGUUGUGCCUGAUGUACAACCAGAGAUCUGGCGCCCAUCGUUCCCAUCUCCAAGAGGUCAUCUUAUGACUACUGACUCUGUGAUGCUAGAUGAUGCAGCUGCUGUAUCGGUGGCUAAAGGCAUCAUUAUUCCACGAGAUAGAAAGUUAUUGGCGGAUCGGUCCGAUGAUGAGGCUAUUAGUGAUUCUAUGGCCUUUAGUAUUCAGGGUGCUGCUUCUGUUUCAAAUAUGGCUCAACGUCUGCAGGUUCGAGGGUGUGAGAUUCAAUCAUUACAAAAUCAAGUUUUGGUUUUGCAGCGAUUGCUCAUGGAUUCUAAGCAAAGGAAUAGAGUUCUUCAACGAGAAAAUAAGGAGCUCACGAAACUUGUAGAUUCGUACGCGAAUGACCUGGGAAAGAAAUAUACCGACUUGGAGCAGAACACCGACCGUCUUCGAGAACAACACAAAGAUCUCUUGCUUGAAGUCCAAAAUCUUAGGGUUUUUUGCCCAGAAACUUAGCCAGGUAUAAGCAUACCGAACUCUCCGGGAAUGGUGCAGAAAGGUCCUAUUUGCAAGUCAGUCAAUCUUGUUUUAGAAGAAAAACCGAUCAAAUUCCAAGAUUAUAAUGAAGUCAGCAAACUCACUUUUGGAUAGAUUCAAACUCCAAAUCAAUUUAGAAUUUAAGAAAAGAGAAGUUGGCAAAAAUUCGUUAUCUUUGGAAAGAAUCCAGAAUGAGCACG